GACGAACGCUGGCGGCGUGCCUAAUACAUGCAAGUCGAACGCUGAAGGAGGAGCUUGCUUCUCUGGAUGAGUUGCGAACGGGUGAGUAACGCGUAGGUAACCUGCCUGGUAGCGGGGGAUAACUAUUGGAAACGAUAGCUAAUACCGCAUAAUAGUAGAUGUUGCAUGACAUUUACUUAAAAGGUGCAAUUGCAUCACUACCAGAUGGACCUGCGUUGUAUUAGCUAGUUGGUGGGGUAACGGCUCACCAAGGCGACGAUACAUAGCCGACCUGAGAGGGUGAUCGGCCACACUGGGACUGAGACACGGCCCAGACUCCUACGGGAGGCAGCAGUAGGGAAUCUUCGGCAAUGGACGAAAGUCUGACCGAGCAACGCCGCGUGAGUGAAGAAGGUUGUCGGAUCGUAAAGCUCUGUUGUAAGAGAAGAACGAGUGUGAGAGUGGAAAGUUAACACUGUGACGGUAGCUUACCAGAAAGGGACGGCUAACUACGUG
Molecule: ribosomal RNA, 495 nt
Filed under: uncultured bacterium
Lineage: Bacteria
Description: partial 16S ribosomal RNA
Rfam family: Bacterial small subunit ribosomal RNA
Source: RNAcentral